Long non-coding RNA from Callithrix jacchus (white-tufted-ear marmoset), 3587 nucleotides. Lineage: Eukaryota; Metazoa; Chordata; Mammalia; Primates; Cebidae. The record is from Ensembl.
CCUCAUUUUUUAUGCUUAUUCUUUUGUAGCCCUGUGUUUCAUUUUUUUUGUUAUAUAUUCUUUCUCCUCAUUUAUACUUAUAUGUAGCUCACUUCCUACCUUUCAUUUUUCCCUUCUUCAUCUUUGUUCUAUUUUCUUACUUCUGAGACAGACACACUUGACCAUCUAAACUGUGCAGAGGAAAGAUCAGCACAGCAGUCUUCGCCUAUCCUCUUGCUGAUAGACCUACACAGGGAUACCUUGGAGUGAUAUAACCUCUACUACCAUUAAAAAAGAGCACUGAGUCUGCACCAAGAAAGGAGGAUAAGUAGAUGAGCAUGGAUUCUCCAACCUCUUGACCAACUCAAGUGUCUAAUGAUCCUCUUAUGGAAAAUGAGCCAUCUGUGGGUUAUAGGUUACCUGAUGCUUUUUCCACGUGCUUUGUUCACCGCACGCUCUACCGUCAGCCAAAUGCUGACAUGCACUAGUAUUUCCUGGCAUACUUCUGAUUUACUUCUUCUUGUAAGAUUACCAGAGAACAUACUCAUACUCAGACACAUUUUCAACCUCUUCUAAGGAGUUUGAGUUACAUGGAAUCCUGUCCUUCAUUCCCACAGAACUUCUUUUAUAGUUCAUAGAGAUGCUGAAGAGAGGAGGUGGCAGAGAGGUGAGGUCCCCUUUCCUCAUACUGAUUUGAUAAUCUUUGAACACUUCUAUGUUGUUAAUCCUUGAUUGAGUCAUAAUUUAGUCUUAAAUGGAUUUAACCUAUUUGAGAGAAAGGCUCACAGCUCUGUCCAUUCAAGGUAUUUGCAUGAAGCUGGCCUUAUAAUAGGAACUCUCUAUGCUCCAGGCAUGCUGAACAUUUUUUAGUUCCUCGAAUAUAGUAUGAAUGUACCAUAGGCCCUUGAACAUAUGGUUAUCCUUGCCUGGAACAGCCCCGAUUUCCCACUCUGUUAUCAUAAUCUACCCUAAAUAUUCAUCUAAAUAACCUACCUUAAUAUAUUAUGUCUCUAAAAAUAAUUAUGGAUAUUCCAAGUCAGAGAAAAGCCCUUACUACACUACCUUUCUUGCUGGCUUCAUCAUAGGACUCCCCAACUAGAUUGCAAGCUCUGUGUCUGUCAUGUUCAAAUAGCGCCUUGAAUGACUCUCUGUAACCUGGUAACAUGUCUUCGAAUGAGCUAGCAUUCUUAGAUUGAGAGAGCUUUUCUUUCACUUUGUCCAAUAACUUUGUAAAAGCACUUAGCUUUUCCCAUCUACCCCUUUCUAUUUGCCUAGACAGUUUUCUGCAGCAUAUUUUAGGGGAAGGAAAGUUGGUUUGCUCUUAACCUGUUUAUGAGUUAGUACAGUGCACAUUUGCCCAAUCCAAGGGGUAGAAGAGAAAUGUCUUUACACAUUAUUAGCUACUUAGGUUUUCCUGUAAAACCUUGAGUUAAAUGAGUUGAAACUUACUUUGCUAAAAAAUCUUCAUCUUAAAUAUGAAGCAUAUUAAGAAGAAUCCAUAUUUCAACGGAAGAAAUUGCAAAUAAUGCUGCUAACACAUUCACCAAUAUCUAUGUAUAAUGCGUUGCAUUUUUAUCUUAGCAUAUCACAAUGGAUUAACUAACACUAACUGGUAGAAGCAAGGUCCCAUGUGCAGAGAUAAAGAGAUGACAUCAAUAGCUCCUUUUAACACUGUGAACUAAGAAACCUGUAGAUUCUUAUCCAUCAAUGAGAAAGUAUACAUUAUUAUUAGUUCAAAGCAUUUCUUUUUACAGGAAGCUUUUUUGUUCUGUGGCACUUAGUCAUUCCUAUAUACAUUAUCCAUUCCUAUAUAGGCUACUUGAAAACUUUGAAAACCUUGACCCCUGAAUGCAUAGCCAAGCCAAAAAACCCCUAAGAAGAGCCAAGUGAUUAUUUUUUCUAUCCUUUCCUGUAUAGUCAUUUGCAUGUGAGAGGGAAAAAAAAUCUGAUAACUGAUGUCAAACAAGAAAAGAAAAAUGACCCUGAAGCACAGCAAAUUGCAGUACUGAGUCACCACAUUUACACUUACAUUAUAGCUUAUAGUAAUGUAAAUUCUGACGCAUCACAUUUACACUUACAUUAUAGCUUAUAUUAAUAUAAAUUCAAGCUGCUAGAAAUUACUCCCACAGGCAGCUGUGUAAAGUCACUUUUUUCACACAUUUUCUUAUAAUAACUGAAGUUUUACAGUAAUUUCUUUAAAUAGUUGAGGAAGAGAAAAUGGAGAUUAUGUGCCAGUUUCCAAACUAGGAAACUUUACCUCGGUGCAUUGCCUAUUUCCAGAGAGCUGAGAUUCCCCUUGCUUGGGAAAGCUCACUCCUUUCCAACACAAAGUCUUGGUUCCUGCUAGGCUAGUCUCCUUAUUAUCUGGAAUAGGUACCAAAAGUAGCUUCUAGAUUCAGACAAUCCUUGCUCAAAUAUUCUGUCUUCUUCCAGCUGUGUUACUGAGUUACUGUUACAAUCUAUUUAUCAAUUAUACUUUACCUCCUGGACUUGCUGUGAGGAUCAAUUAGAUAAUGUAAGUCAGGUGUCCAGUGGUCUGCCUAACACGUAAUGUGACUUAAUAAACACCACUUCCUUCCUCUCUCCUCUGUGCCGUUGCACAUUCACCUUCCCUCUUAGUAGAUUCUCUAUUACCUUCUGACCUCAAGGAGUAAGACGUAUAACACUUACCUUGAGAAUUUUCUUAUGAUUCUAGCCCACACUGAGUGGCUUCCUGCUUUAAAAUAUUCUUUCUUUUUUUUUUGAGACAGAGUCUCGCUCUGUUGCCAGGCUGGAGUACAGUGGUGUGAUCUUGGCUCACUGCAACCUCUGCCUCCCAGAUUCAAGCAAUUCUCCUACCUCAGCCUCACAAGUAGCCGGGACUAAAAUACUCUUAUUUUUAAUUGGGCCAUCCAUUUGUUAUUGCAUUUUUCUAGUUAUAUGUCUAAGUAUAUCCAGAGUACUCAAUAAAAAUGCCUGGAGACUUGUGGCAUUUCAUUUCAUUUUUAUGUAACUAUCAUAGUAACUAACAUGUCUACAUAAUGGGGUUCCAUAAAUUAUGUAACUGAUUAUUACUAUGUAGGACCCACCUAGAUUUAUAUAAUAUCUAAAAUGCUAACCUCUGGUGAGAAACACACAGUGCCUUACCCACUUGGGGUUUCUAGCUUCCAGUUAAUUAAAUUGUCAUCCUUUGAUUCUGCAAGCUGACCUACUUUUUAAGAUAAACUGUCAGCUGGUUGAGGAUUUUUUUAAAACACUUUUUUCCUGAAAAAAUUAAAACAAAGUAUAACUUCUCAUUCUGUUAUUGUAUUUGAAUUUCAGUGACUUUGGAUAGCUAAGCAGUUCCGUGCAGUCACUGAUUCUAUCCUUAAGUGAUACAUGGUAGAUUUAAUUUUGAUGGCAGGAGAAACAAGAUUCAAGAAAAUUAAUCAGUAACAUUUCUGCCAAAUGUAGUAAAAAUACACCGGGAAACCAACAUAGAAACAAUUCUUUGAAAGCUCCUAACAUAAAUUAAAAAUAUGAGAUUCGGACUUAAAUGUAGCCAAGUCUUUCUAUUUAAAGGUACAUGAAAAGGUUUCCAGAAAAAACAAUUGCAGAUUAUGAGGUAAACUGAAACACCCUAAUACUUA